GCUCUGACCAGUUCAAUUCAUCUGACGGAGGAUUAAAAGAAUGAUUUCCUUAACCAUAAACAGAUACACAAGAAUCCAAACAACGCAACUCAAAUAUAAAUUUCAUUUCGAAACGCUUCGCGUCAGUUUCUUGAAUAUAAUCCGAUCAGUUCUAUGUUAACAGUUCAAGAGAAAAGAAUCGAAAUGCUACUCUAACUGUGUGAGACUUACGUUAAGGCGGACUUCCGGCAGCUCCCGAGGCUACUGUUCUUCAUUGCCCGGCACAAGUUUGAUGUUCCGAAGGAAGUAAGGAAGUAGAAAAUCUGAUUUAGCAGGCGAUCUGAUUAUGUGACAAAAAGAGUGUGCCGUUCGUGAAUACCUGGACUGUAAACGGGGAUAUCUACCUCGAGGAACGUCUACAGAAGCGUCUACUUCCUCUGUUGAAGAAAUACGAGGUACCUACGAUCUUCUGGUCGGAACUAAAUGCGUGCCACUAUAACCUCAAAAAUAAAAAAAAAAUAUUAUAGUCCUUUAUGUCAUCGAUGACGAGGCUGGAAUUGGUCAGCCGGCUCUGGAUAUAUGACCAGGACAUGCUUCGCUCUGACCAGUUCAAUUCAUCUGACGGAGGAUUAAAAGAAUGAUUUCCUUAACCAUAAACAGAUACACAAGAAUCCAAACAACGCAACUCAAAUAUAAAUUUCAUUUGUGAGUAUUCUCCAUCUACCCUUCUUUCCACAGCUAGCAUGGAGUUGAAACAUGUAUAAAACACACUUAUUUUGAAUUGAUGUUUAUUUUCUAAAUCGUCAUGGCAGCGAAACGCUUCGCGUCAGUUUCUUGAAUAUAAUCCGAUCAGUUCUAUGUUAACAGUUCAAGAGAAAAGAAUCGAAACGCUACUCUAACUGUGUGAGACUUACGUUAAGGCGGACUUCCGGCAGCUCCCGAGGCUACUGUUCUUCAUUGCCCGGCACAAGUUUGAUGUUCCGAAGGAAGUAAGGAAGUAGAAAAUCUGAUUUAGCAGGCGAUCUGAUUAUGUGACAAAAAGAGUGUGCCGUUCGUGAAUACCUGGACUGUAAACGGGGAUAUCUACCUCGAGGAACGUCUACAGAAGCGUCUACUUCCUCUGUUGAAGAAAUACGAGGUACCUACGAUCUUCUGGUCGGAACUAAAUGCGUGCCACUAUAACAAACCAAACAAAUAUCAGCAACACCGUCAACGCCAAUUGACCUAAAGUGAUCGUCGCUGCGGUUUCACAGGAAGAACGGACCUGCUCUUUUUAUUCAUUUCCUGGACUACUUAGCCACUGAACUGCAGUUCUUGCGUUCUCAAUGAACGAUUGUUUCUGUGUGGAGACUUGUGGAUUGUGUAUUGCACCGCGAGUUCUUUUUAAAUUAGCCGUUACAUUUUUAUUUUAUAACUACAUGCUAAUGAUCCUAGGAGUUGAUAUUUCGUUAUUUUAUCGUUUCUUAUAAGUUAUAUUACUUGUUUUAAUAAUAAUUGUAUUCAGGUUCAACCAUAAUUAAUCUUAGGAGAAUUGAAUUUUAUCGCACACCCAACCUAUUUCUGCAUACAAUUCAUCCCGAACGCUACUAUACUGCGCCUCCGUGCAUGAAACGCAAUCUCCUUGCAUGGGUAUU
This is a long non-coding RNA of Wyeomyia smithii (pitcher-plant mosquito), 1613 nucleotides long. RefSeq lists it as uncharacterized. NCBI's taxonomy places the organism in Eukaryota, Metazoa, Arthropoda, Insecta, Diptera, Culicidae. The transcript is spliced from 5 exons. The record is from RefSeq and is a predicted model, not a curated record.